UCUAGAACUCAAGAUAUGGGCUGAACACUGAACAAUGUCUAGGUUGUAGGAUAGAUUCAGACGUCUCUUUUGAUGCUAAGAUUUGAACUUGAAAACAAAAGAUUUGAAUCUUGGACUCUUCAUGAAAGUUUUAGGCCUAUGUCUUAACUUUCCAUC
This is a non-coding RNA of Populus trichocarpa (black cottonwood), 156 nucleotides long. NCBI's taxonomy places the organism in Eukaryota, Viridiplantae, Streptophyta, Magnoliopsida, Malpighiales, Salicaceae. The record is from Rfam.